Molecule: ribosomal RNA, 773 nt
Filed under: uncultured Bacillota bacterium
Lineage: Bacteria; Bacillati; Bacillota
Description: bacterial SSU rRNA
Rfam family: Bacterial small subunit ribosomal RNA
Source: RNAcentral
AGCGCAGGCGGUUGGAAUAGUCUGAUGUGAAAGCCCACGGCUUAACCGUGGAAGGUCAUUGGAAACUGUCCAACUUGAAUGCAGAAGAGGUAAGUGGAAUUCCAUGUGUAGCGGUGAAAUGCGUAGAUAUAUGGAGGAACACCAGUGGCGAAGGCGACUUACUGGUCUGUGAUUGACGCUGAGGCUCGAAAGCGUGGGUAGCGAACAGGAUUAGAUACCCUGGUAGUCCACGCCGUAAACGAUGAGUGCUAAGUGUUGGAGGGUUUCCGCCCUUCAGUGCUGGAGUUAACGCAUUAAGCACUCCGCCUGGGGAGUACGGCCGCAAGGCUGAAACUCAAAGGAAUUGACGGGGACCCGCACAAGCGGUGGAGCAUGUGGUUUAAUUCGACGCAACGCGAAGAACCUUACCAGCUCUUGACAUCUUCUGAUCAUCCUAGAGAUAGGACUUUCCCUUCGGGGACAGAAUGACAGGUGGUGCAUGGUUGUCGUCAGCUCGUGUCGUGAGAUGUUGGGUUAAGUCCCAUAACGAGCGCAACCCUUAUUGUUAGUUGCCAGCAUUCAGUUGGGCACUCUAGCGAGACUGCCGGUGAUAAACCGGAGGAAGGUGGGGAUGACGUCAAAUCAUCAUGCCCCUUAUGAGCUGGGCUACACACGUGCUACAAUGGACGGUACAACGAGUCGCGACCCCGCAAGGGAUAGCAAAUCUUAAUAAGCCGUUCUCAGUUCGGAUUGUUCUCUGCAACUCGAGAGCAUGAAGCCGGAAUCGCUAGUAA